CCCGGCUCCAGUUGUACUGCGGGGUUUUGUCCACUGGAAAAGCCGCUUUAAGUCGGGCUGUUUCCUGCCUGCUCUGCCUCCUUGUUCUUGCUCCCUCGUCGGGGCUCGCUGUCCCCGCGGUUGUGGGAGUGCAGCUGUUGUUCGUGGGCUGAGUUGUAAAUUGGAUCAGUGAAACAUCUGAGUCUUUCUGCGCGUGUGUAUCUGGAUCAUCUCACUCUUUCGACUUCCAACGUGGCGCACGGAGCUGGAUGAGCAGCUGAGGAGCAGCGAGCAGAGGCGCGGAGUGGGAAGCAGCAGGAAGCAGCAGGAAGCCCUUCAGCCGGCUCUGUGAGCAGACAGAGGGACCCUGUGCCCGUACAGAGCCACCCGAGCACCCACACCAGCCAGCCGGGAGAGAGAACCGGGAUACGCCGCAGUCUGUCCCAGAGUGGCUCUUCAAUUGCUGCAGAUAAUCCUUUAUCUUUAGGAAGAAAAGGGCUGGUCCCUUAAUAAGCUCUUUCCCCCAGACGUCUGCUCUUCAUUGGAGACACCGAAAUCGCAGGCUCUUUAGCGAUUCAGAAUACGAUCGUGUGAAUCCUACUGGGCUUAUAAAACAUGUUGCUCUUUCAGUGCUGUUAGAAACACUAAUAAUAACUUGUUCAUGCAUUGGGCCUUGGGUGCUACUGUCAGUUAGUGUCAGAACAGAGAUUUGUUUAAACAAAUUAUUUCCGUAUACACUUCUUUCCCUUACCCUUUGGAAAGUAGAGCUUCAUGACCAAGUAGACCUGUUUCAGUGACACCUGUCUGCAUGAGUGGUCAAAUUUGGGGCACGGAAAGAAAAUGCUAUCCCUGCCUUCACAGCUCUCUAUAUCCUUCAGUUAAAGGAUCUGCCCCUCUGCAGAGCCUACAUAGAGGAUUAAAAACUCUUCUCUCAUCUUCUAGCGGUUUAAAUGUCAUGGCUGAGUCACAGGAAAAAAUACUAAUACUUCCCAGCAGGAGUCAUUUUAGGCAGUGAUGAAAAAGCCAUGUGUAAUCUUUUACCUUCCCCUCUACCUUUGUGGCAGAGUUUGCAAUAGUGAGAUUUAAAUCUUCAUCACCAGUCUCCCAGCUCACCUGCCUGUGAUGUCUCACAGGCUCAUAGAGAGGCCAAGCAUUGCUGAAUUUUAUUAUGUUUGUUCUAUAUUUUAAAUCUUUCUCUGAAGGAAAGAGAGAGAACUGACUUGUAUAUUAACUGAUUCUUUUUAUAUUGGAGAGGUCUAAUGUGACUUUAAUUGAAGUGCUGGAGAAGGGGGAAGUACUCUUCAUUACUCUCAUGACUUUAAAGAAGAAAACUGAAGGAGAUUUCAUUAUUAUGGAAGCACUUAUAGCAUUUAAAUAGUAUUUUCAGCAUUUUCUUCCCAAAAUUUCAGCAUUUAUGCUUGGAGUACAGAACAAUUUUAAUGGAAACAUUUAAACUAAUCUCAUAGUAUAGAAUUUCUUAAAAAUCCCUUUUGGAAAUGUUCAGUGCAGUAUUAGGCCUUCUGUUCCAAUGGUUUAAGGAGCAGAAUAAAAAUGAGUUUCCAAUUUCUCACAUUGUUAAAACCAACGGAAAAAAAAUUAACUAUGCUAACCUAAAUUAAGAGAUCUCUUAAAUAU
Molecule: long non-coding RNA, 1614 nt
Organism: Passer domesticus (house sparrow)
Lineage: Eukaryota; Metazoa; Chordata; Aves; Passeriformes; Passeridae
Exons: 2
Source: RefSeq, a predicted model, not a curated record